RNAcentral lists this ribosomal RNA (98 nucleotides) under Thermogemmatispora sp. RNAcentral's name for it is "partial 16S ribosomal RNA". It matches the Rfam family "Bacterial small subunit ribosomal RNA", at positions 1 to 103 of the family's 1533-position model. Lineage: Bacteria; Bacillati; Chloroflexota; Ktedonobacteria; Thermogemmatisporales; Thermogemmatisporaceae. The record is from RNAcentral.
UGGAUGGCGAGUUUGAUCCUGGCUCAGGACGAACGCUGGCGGCGUGCCUAACACAUGCAAGUCGAACGCUCUCUCCGCGAGGGGAGGGAGUGGCGGAC